CCUACGGGUGGCUGCAGUGAGGAAUAUUGGACAAUGGGGGGGACCCUGAUCCAGCGACGCCGCGUGAGUGAAGAAGUAUUUCGAUAUGUAAAGCUCUAUCAGCAGGGAAGCAAGAAAUGACGGUACCUGACUAAGAAGCCCCGGCUAACUAAGUGCCAGCAGCCGCGGUAAUCCGUAGGGGGCAAGCGUUUUCCGGAUUUACUGGGUGUCAAGGGUGCUUAGACGGCGAUGCAAGUCUGAAGUGAAAGGCGGGGGCCCAACCCCCGGACGGCUUUUGAAACUGUAUGGCUGGAGUGCAGGAGAGGUAAGUGGGAUGCGUGGUGUAGCGGUGAAAUGCGUAGAUAUUAGGAGGAACACCAGUGGCGAAGGCGGCGUACCGG
Molecule: ribosomal RNA, 380 nt
Filed under: uncultured bacterium
Lineage: Bacteria
Description: partial 16S ribosomal RNA
Rfam family: Bacterial small subunit ribosomal RNA
Source: RNAcentral